RNAcentral lists this ribosomal RNA (516 nucleotides) under uncultured bacterium. RNAcentral describes it as "bacterial SSU rRNA". It matches the Rfam family "Bacterial small subunit ribosomal RNA", at positions 18 to 518 of the family's 1533-position model. The record is from RNAcentral.
UAUGGCUCAGGAUGAACGCUAGCUACAGGCUAACACAUGCAAGUCGAGGGGCGAGCGGGGAUCUAGCUUGCUAGAUCUGCCGGGCGACCGGCGCACGGGUGCGUAAUGCGUAUCCAACCUGCCGUGUACUCGGGGAUAGCCCUCUGAAAGGAGGAUUAAUACCCGAUGUGGUUGUUUGAAGACAUCUUCUUACAAUUAAAGAUUUAUCGGUACACCGAUGGGGAUGCGUAUGAUUAGGUAGUAGGCGGGGUAACGGCCCACCUAGCCGACGAUCAUUAGGGGUUCUGAGAGGAAGGUCCCCCACAUAGGAACUGAGACACGGUCCUAACUCCUACGGGAGGCAGCAGUGAGGAAUAUUGGUCAAUGGGCGAGAGCCUGAACCAGCCAAGUAGCGUGGAAAAGGAAGACUGCCCUAUGGGUUGUAAACUUCUUUUAUGAGGGAAUAAAGUUCGUCACGUGUGGCGUUUUGUAUGUACCUCAUGAAUAAGCAUCGGCUAAUUCCGUGCCAGCAGCGGC